This 495-nucleotide ribosomal RNA is filed under the name Rhabditida sp. 3041ed. RNAcentral describes it as "eukaryotic LSU rRNA". It matches the Rfam family "Eukaryotic large subunit ribosomal RNA", at positions 386 to 851 of the family's 3401-position model. The record is from RNAcentral. Lineage: Eukaryota; Metazoa; Nematoda; Chromadorea; Rhabditida.
AGUCAGAGAACGUGAAAUCGCUGGAGUGGAACCGGAGACAGUUGAUGUUGCUUGGAGACAAGUUUGGUGGCUGGUCGCUUAGUUGUGAUCGUCGCCGGAUGUCGUUUCCUAUGCUACGCCGACGGCGUUGGUCGCUCGUUCUGGCCCGAUAGUGUUGCCCAGCUCGCAAGAGUCGGUGUCUUGUUAUCGGUCGUUGGUUCGUGGUGGCUAGCGUUUAGUUACGCUAGUGUGUGUGACGUCGGUGUGAAAGUCGACGACGUUUCCGACCCGUCUUGAAACACGGAUUGCGGAGUGCUUGUCUACUGCGAGUCAAAGGGUGUUAAAACCUUGCGGCGAAAUGAAAGUGAAGGUCAGUCUUGAAUUGGCCGACGUGGGAUCGGUGCUCCUCGGAGUGCUGCGCACCACGGCCCUGUGCGUGUCACUUGUGACUGUGCAGAGGUUGAGCAGUUGCGCAACGACCCGAAAGAUGGUGAACUAUGCCUGAGCAGGAUGAAG